GCUUAACACAUGCAAGUCGAACGGCAGCACGGGCUUCGGCCUGGUGGCGAGUGGCGAACGGGUGAGUAAUACAUCGGAACGUGCCCUGUAGUGGGGGAUAACUAGUCGAAAGAUUAGCUAAUACCGCAUACGACCUGAGGGUGAAAGCGGGGGACCGCAAGGCCUCGCGCUACAGGAGCGGCCGAUGUCUGAUUAGCUAGUUGGUGGGGUAAAAGCCUACCAAGGCGACGAUCAGUAGCUGGUCUGAGAGGACGAUCAGCCACACUGGGACUGAGACACGGCCCAGACUCCUACGGGAGGCAGCAGUGGGGAAUUUUGGACAAUGGGGGCAACCCUGAUCCAGCAAUGCCGCGUGUGUGAAGAAGGUCUUCGGAUUGUAAAGCACUUUAAGUUGGGAGGAAGGGCAGUCAGCUAAUACCUGGUUGUUUUGACGUUACCAACAGAAUAAGCACCGGCUAACUUCGUGCCAGCAGCCGCGGUAAUACGAAGGGUGCAAGCGUUAAUCGGAAUUACUGGGCGUAAAGCGCGCGUAGGUGGUUCAGCAAGUUGGAGGUGAAAUCCCCGGGCUCAACCUGGGAACUGCCUCCAAAACUACUGGGCUAGAGUACGGUAGAGGGUGGUGGAAUUUCCUGUGUAGCGGUGAAAUGCGUAGAUAUAGGAAGGAACACCAGUGGCGAAGGCGACCACCUGGACUGAUACUGACACUGAGGUGCAAAAGCGUGGGGAGCAAACAGGAUU
Molecule: ribosomal RNA, 738 nt
Filed under: uncultured Gammaproteobacteria bacterium
Lineage: Bacteria; Pseudomonadati; Pseudomonadota; Gammaproteobacteria
Description: bacterial SSU rRNA
Rfam family: Bacterial small subunit ribosomal RNA
Source: RNAcentral